AGAGUAAUCUUCUGCAGUUGUAGAGAGUCAGUGUAGCUUCAUGCAAUACUGUUUCACAGCAAGUUUGUACAAAGUAUCAUUACAGGCAGGGAAUUAUAGGCCUAAUUGUGCUUUUCACUUGCUCUGAAUGUGACCUUAAACAAAGCAUUGUGUGUAAAAAGGGCAAAUGUUCUUUGAUAUGAAGCAUCUAUCAGGGAGUAGCAUUUUGCCUUUUGAGACUUUUUAGCAUCCAUGGGGGAGAGAUUAAAUUGCCAGUGUAUCUCUAUAAGGCAUGCCUCUAAAGAUGCACAUGGCGUUUAGGAAGGUAAAUUUUUUUGAACCAGGGAGGGACGUACGGAAAUAACUUUAAUGAGAAAAGGAUCUGCAAGGUUUCCAGCCCAGGCUCAGGCCACCCGGGCAUUAUGUGCGGUGAGGCAUAGCCUUUCCACUGCUGCCCGGGCCCACUGGAUAGCCCAUAGUUGGUCGUGUAGUUCCGAGCUAGUCAGAGCGCUUAGCUAUCGCUCCUCGAGAAGGUCCUGUUCUAUCUUGUCCUCUAGAUAUAUCGAUCUGAUCUGUGUGCACUUCCAUGAGAUCUGUGCAUUGUAUGCGGGUUCGUGCUUGCAGAGCUUGCAGCUCGCGUCUGGGUAUUGUGUUGAAUUUACUCUGUCUAAAUGUACUGGGUUUCGGAAUAUUCUGGUUUGCAACCUCCUCCAAUCUGUUUCUUGAAACCUGUCGAGUUGUUUGCGGGGUUGUGGGUAUGUUUCUCCUCGUUUCGUAUAGUGUGUCAGUAUGUCGUGGUACGUGACCAGUCUGUGCCUGUUGUUUCGUAUCGCUACUUCGUUGUCGUUGCCUCCCCGCUGUCCUUCCCCUUUCCCCGGGGGUUGCGGGGUGUUGUGCCGUCACUGUCCGAGACGCGGUGGAUUAGUUCUCGCGCGGCUCGGUCGGCCUUCUCAUUGAGGUUGGGAGGGCCAUUCGUGGUUACUUCUCCCAUAUGUACUGGGAUCCAUUUGAGGUAUUUGGGUCAUGUCAGAGAAACACAAAUGUAUUGUUCCAAAAUGGUACAGUGUUACUCCGCUGCUAGAAAGGUGAUUUAGAAGAGCUCUCUAACUCCAUUGACUAAAUUUUCAGAGGUGAUUGCAAUGGGUGAUUCCCCUGUUACUCUGGUAUUGCUAGUCUGGUGCUUACUGUCAGUGAUAUACACAGCAUGCCAGUCUUGGAGCUCAACUUUCAAGAGCCAAUUAAGAGGCAUGUCAUGGGUGAUUUAAUAAGCUUAUUAGGCUUCUUUUUAAACAAACAAUUAAUUUAUUCUUUAUUUUUGCUGUCAUUUUGAUGGCCUGUCUAUGCUUUUUGUUUUCAAAGGCCAUAUUAUUUUCAUAAUUAUGGCCUUCAAUGUUUAAUUGUAAUAUCCCUUAUAAUCCACAGUGAUUACUCGUAAAAGAGAAAUCAAUAUAGAACAAACAGUAGAUGUGGGUAAAUGUAUGUGCAUUGACUUGAACAGUCACCUGCAAAAGUUUAAAGUCAGGUUGCUCAAUGGAUUGAAUAAUCUCAGUUGGAAAGCAGCACUAAGUGUGUUCAUAUGCCCCUCACUCAUCCAGUAUACGUAAAUGUAACCAAAUGUAGUAUAUGUAACCAACACACUCUCAGACUUUAGCGCAAUAAGUUAAUAUGUUGUGUUAUGCUGUUGAGUUGAGACUGUGAAUGGAACGAUUAUUAAAAUGAGCAAGCUAGAGACAACUAUUGCAGUGUUUAUAAUUUGUGGUAAUUGCAGCAUGAUAUUGCAAAAGAACAUAAAUAAUGCUCCUCUCAAUGUUUCUAUCUAUGCCUUUCGUUCAUCUCUUAGUCUCUCUGAAAUUAAGCAGCAGAGCAUGGCACAAGCACUGCUGCUUACGUUUAUAAUGGAGUCAUCAGUGGGUUUCAGACAGAGGCAACUCCUGUCCCUUAUGCACAUAUGUUUUGGUAUUUUCAAGACUGUUCCUGUCAUACCAAAGCCAAGGCUCACUGGCCCCUCAUGGUAUUGAAGCUUGCUCACCAAUUACUCAGAGUGGAUGAUACAUUUUCUGGAUUUUGUCAGGUGCCAUCUGUCUUGCCCUAAUCAUGGUAUGAAAGGUCACAGCAAAUUUAAUAACAAGCUGCUCAAGAAUGUGUCCCAGCUAGUGUCGCAACAUACCCCCUGGGUUCAUUCUUAAGACUGGGAAAACAUGGGGAAGGCAGGAAAUGGAAAUUCAAGACGAUGAGCAAACCGAGAACAAGAUGAAAGCAGGAGCCAAUGUUUCAACAAGUGGACUUGUCUUCUUCAAGGCGACAUAUGCUUUCCUCGCCACAGUUACAGAUAUUAAGAAUCAAUUUGGUUGAUGCCCAGCCUGAUACUCCGUGAUUAUA
This is a long non-coding RNA of Dermacentor andersoni, 2358 nucleotides long. RefSeq lists it as uncharacterized. The record is from RefSeq and is a predicted model, not a curated record. NCBI's taxonomy places the organism in Eukaryota, Metazoa, Arthropoda, Arachnida, Ixodida, Ixodidae.